UGGAUGCUGAUGAGGGAAAGAUUUUUAUAUAAUCCAACACUUGAUCUGAGAUAUUACAUUAUCGAGUGAGGUUUUAUUCAUUUUCUUCUGAAUCUAC
Small nucleolar RNA from Hibiscus syriacus, 97 nucleotides. RefSeq annotates it as small nucleolar RNA snoR31. Lineage: Eukaryota; Viridiplantae; Streptophyta; Magnoliopsida; Malvales; Malvaceae. The record is from RefSeq and is a predicted model, not a curated record. The transcript has a single exon.